AUCUAUUGCCAUGCCACUCUGAAGCCCGAUCCCAUCUGAUCUUGGAAGCUAAGCAGGGUCGGGCCUGGUUAGUACUUGGAUGGGAGACCAUCUAGGAAGACCAGGUGCUGCAGGCG
This 116-nucleotide ribosomal RNA is filed under the name Pteropus alecto (black flying fox). The record is from RNAcentral. Lineage: Eukaryota; Metazoa; Chordata; Mammalia; Chiroptera; Pteropodidae.